RNAcentral lists this ribosomal RNA (97 nucleotides) under uncultured bacterium. Its description in RNAcentral is "partial 16S ribosomal RNA". It matches the Rfam family "Bacterial small subunit ribosomal RNA", at positions 1386 to 1482 of the family's 1533-position model. The record is from RNAcentral.
CACACCGCCCGUCACGCCAUGGGAGUUGGUUUCGCUUGAAAGCGCUGUGUUAACCGCAAGGAGGCAGGCGCUAAUGGCAAAACCGAUGACUGGGGUG